RNAcentral lists this ribosomal RNA (27 nucleotides) under Momordica charantia (bitter melon). Its description in RNAcentral is "partial 28S ribosomal RNA". The record is from RNAcentral. Lineage: Eukaryota; Viridiplantae; Streptophyta; Magnoliopsida; Cucurbitales; Cucurbitaceae.
CGACCCCAGUUCAGGCGGAUUUCCCGU